The submitters of this non-coding RNA (75 nucleotides) gave its source as unclassified sequences. The record is from Rfam.
GAGGGAGUACUUAGGUCCCUCAGAAGCGGUGUGUUAAUAGUGAUGCUUUUGGCCAGGCAUGACGGUUAGUGAAUC